UCUCCCACUGUAGUCAGGUGAUAUACACCUCUCUCCAAUCUCCCACUGUAGUCAGGUGAUAUACACCUCUCUCUAAUCUCCCACUGUAGUCAGGUGAUAUACACCUCUCUCUAAUCUCCCUCCCACUGUAGUCAGGUGAUAUACACCUCUCUCCAAUCUCC
Oncorhynchus keta (chum salmon) is the source of this 161-nucleotide long non-coding RNA. RefSeq lists it as uncharacterized. The record is from RefSeq and is a predicted model, not a curated record. Lineage: Eukaryota; Metazoa; Chordata; Actinopteri; Salmoniformes; Salmonidae. The transcript has 3 exons.